CCGGCGGUGUUCCGGCGGUGUUCCGGUGUUCUGGUAGUCAGUGUUUUACUACAUGCCUGCCCCACGAUUGCAUUGUUUUAUUAAACAAGAUGAAAUAUGUUUUGAAGGGAGUAAUUUAGGCGACGAAUUAAAAUGAAAUUGCUGUAAUGAUGUUUUCGGUUAUACCAAAACGUUACUAGAGGCACGGUAAUUUGUGCCUCUCUCUUGCAAUAUACAGUUGUUUAAUUAUAAUUUCCCCUCAGGUUAGAAGAGUGUUUCUAGUUUGACUGCUACCAUGCAAGCACGGCAGGUUUUCGCCAGAUACUCCGCGGUUUCCUCUUGGAAUAAUGCUGCACCUGUGCACUGGAACCACCUCACUGGACCUCUAGGGAGAACGUUUUAGAACGGAUAGAGAGCUAUCCAGUUACUUUAAUGCACAUGUAUAGUUCUAAAAUUCAUAUAUUAAAAUAGAUUGCGUGACGACAAAUAUUGUUAGCUAACGUACAUUCAGCUGUUCGAUUUAUAUUAUAUAAGUGCAUAUGUAAAUUUAUCAGACCUAUACCUUGCAAAAUUUAAUAAAACCGUAUACAGCUUUCAUAUAUGCCUUUGGAGUAAACUGUCUUGGUGUAAAUCAACACUUUUAAUAUGUUCUCUUGGAGAAAGUGCAAUCAAAAUUUGAUUUUUAAUCUUGGAACACUAUAUAUUGUGUAUUUUGACAACUUUAUGCUCCUGUGGCCUUUAAUUAAACAUUAAAAUUAAUAAAAUAAUAUAAUUAAGACGUCAUGCAUGUGCAUUUGGAAUACAGGAUCAUGUCUACAUGAUCAUGUCUACAUCAUGUCUACAUCAUGUCAUGAUCAUGUCUACGGAUCAUGUCUACAUCAUGUCUACAUCGCUACGCGAAAAGAAAAUUUUCAUUUGCAAAACCAGACCUUAACUGCGCAUGAUCUAUAAUACUUUUUGCUUAUCGCUGAGAAAAAAAAGUGAAGUGUGUAAGCUAUAUCAUGGAGUAAACUUUCUUGGUGUAAAUCAACACUUUUAAUAUCUCCCCUUGGAGAAAGUGCAAUCAAGAUUUGAUUUUUAAUUUAGAAGAACGACUAUAAUAUAGUGUGUGUUUUGACAACCUUAUGCUCCUGUGACAACCUUAUGCUCAAAAAAAAAAAAAAAAUAAAUAAAAAAAUUGAACACUAAAAUUAAUAAAAUAAUAUAUUUAAGACCAAACAGACGUCAUGUACAUUUAGAAUACAGGAAAUUACCAGAUACGUCAUGUGACGUUCUACAUCGCCACGCGAAAAGAAAAUUUUCAUUUGCAAAAUCAGAUCUUAACUGCGCAUGCUCAGCUCUAUAAUACUUUUUGCUUAUCGCUGAUAAAAAAAACGUGAAGUGUAUAAGCUAUAUAUAUUAUAAGCUAUAUACAUUUGUAUCUGGGAAUCUUGCUUUUCCCCAUCUGGGAAUACACAUGCAUGUAUGCUUGUAUUGUGGUUUAUGUAUAGACUUAAUUGUUCGUGAUUUAGAACAUUAUAUUUUUAAAUUACUUUCCCAACUUGGAGAUAACGUUGCGUGAAAGGUAAUGACUGCCGAUUAAUAUCUUCUAGAUGAUCUCUUAAACACUAAAGGCUUAUAGAACAGCUGCAUGCCAACCCGCUUAAAUUGUUUACAUGCAAACAUUUACAGACAAUUUACGUCGUUACUGUGUUAUAUGUGGCAAAAUGUUAAUUAUUUGUCACAGUAUCUCGUUAUUAAACUUUCGUUGCAGAAUGUUGGAAAAAAUAUAAAUAUUUAUGCUCAAUCGAGGCAAGUUUACGACAGGUUUACGCCCAACAAAGUAAACUGCCAAAUUAAUAUAAAUGCAAAACCCUGGCCAUCUCUAUUACUGUAUUAGUCCCUUCGAACGAUAUUCGGUAUUUUCCCAUGUUCAAAAAGGGAUAACCCUUAUACUGAACCUUUUGGGACAAUACUUUGUCUUUGGACAGAAUCGAUAGAGCUAUCCAGUAUAAAUGGAUAAAUAAACAGAAAAGAUUAGAUAACGUUAAACGGAAUUCACAAAAGUCAUAAACUUGCAACUAUACCGGUAAGUGUUUAUGUGCAGCUGUUCUCUGUCUCUGUUACUCUGUAUAGUCUUCUAGUCAGCGACGAUCGUCAGAACUGCAGUGUCGCUUGUUUGACCCCAGCUUACAAAUACGGAGAUAAUUCCAGGUUUUUGGUUUUGUCUUCUAUUCGCAAGAAAGCCAUUGCGCAGAAAACCGUUUGGUGCAGUCCUAAAUAUUGCAAACGAAUUUAGUUGCCAUCGUGACCGAAAUAUAUAUGCGUGAUGGGAUUGAUGGCAAGACUCGAGAGUAAUUAUGUUAAAGCUUUUAAAUUUAAGUAGGCAUGGAUAUGAUCAUUAUAUGAGCCAC
RNAcentral lists this long non-coding RNA (2372 nucleotides) under Paramuricea clavata. The record is from RNAcentral. Lineage: Eukaryota; Metazoa; Cnidaria; Anthozoa; Malacalcyonacea; Plexauridae.